GACGAACGCUGGCGGCGUGCUUAACACAUGCAAGUCGAACGGAAAGGCCCUGCUUUUGUGGGGUGCUCGAGUGGCGAACGGGUGAGUAACACGUGAGUAACCUGCCCUUGACUUUGGGAUAACUUCAGGAAACUGGGGCUAAUACCGGAUAGGAGCUCCUGCUGCAUGGUGUGGGUUGGAAAUUUUCGGCGGUUGGGGAUGGACUCGCGGCUUAUCAGCUUGUUGGUGGGGUAGUGGCUUACCAAGGCUUUGACGGGUAGCCGGCCUGAGAGGGUGACCGGCCACAUUGGGACUGAGAUACGGCCCAGACUCCUACGGGAGGCAGCAGUGGGGAAUAUUGCAAAAUGGGCGGAAGCCUGAUGCAGCAACGCCGCGUGCGGGAUGACGGCCUUCGGGUUGUAAACCGCUUUCGCCUGUGACGAAGCGUGAGUGACGGUAAUGGGUAAAGAAGCACCGGCUAACUACGUG
Molecule: ribosomal RNA, 468 nt
Filed under: uncultured bacterium
Lineage: Bacteria
Description: partial 16S ribosomal RNA
Rfam family: Bacterial small subunit ribosomal RNA
Source: RNAcentral